AUUGAACGCUGGCGGCAUGCCUUACACAUGCAAGUCGAACGGCAGCGCGGACUUCGGUCUGGCGGCGAGUGGCGAACGGGUGAGUAAUACAUCGGAACGUACCCUGUUGUGGGGGAUAACUAGUCGAAAGAUUAGCUAAUACCGCAUACGACCUGAGGGUGAAAGUGGGGGACCGCAAGGCCUCACGCAGCAGGAGCGGCCGAUGUCUGAUUAGGUAGUUGGUGGGGUAAAGGCCCACCAAGGCGACGGUCAGUAGCUGGUCUGAGAGGACGAUCAGCCACACUGGGACUGAGACACGGCCCAGACUCCUACGGGAGGCAGCAGUGGGGAAUUUUGGACAAUGGGGGCAACCCUGAUCCAGCAAUGCCGCGUGUGUGAAGAAGGCCUUCGGGUUGUAAAGCACUUUUGUCCGGAAAGAAAUCGCGCUGGUUAAUACCUGGCGUGGAUGACGGUACCGGAAGAAUAAGCACCGGCUAACUACGUGCCAGCAGCCGCCGUAA
RNAcentral lists this ribosomal RNA (500 nucleotides) under uncultured bacterium. RNAcentral's name for it is "partial 16S ribosomal RNA". It matches the Rfam family "Bacterial small subunit ribosomal RNA", at positions 29 to 523 of the family's 1533-position model. The record is from RNAcentral.